CGGCUGCGCAAGGUGCUCAAGGCUGUUGUUUCUUUCUCCUGGGCUCCUGGCCGGGUUGGCCCCACAGAAAAGAUGCGUUAUGCCACUGUUGAAUUCACCAAAGCUGAAGAAGUGAAAGUUGUUCCUACAAGUUGGAUCUCCGACAACAAGUGUUGGUGGCCAGCUCACGCAAAGCCCGAAAAGCUUACGUCAAUGGUGAAAAAAAUCACACCCGGUGGAAUCAACGUGGAAACAGUUUGACAUUUCUGUAAAAGGGUUAUUGGUGGGAGCCAUGUUUUGGUAUGGUGAUUUUUUAGAACAAAAUGAGAGUAAAAACUUGACCAUUG
Molecule: long non-coding RNA, 326 nt
Organism: Dermacentor andersoni
Lineage: Eukaryota; Metazoa; Arthropoda; Arachnida; Ixodida; Ixodidae
Source: RefSeq, a predicted model, not a curated record